RNAcentral lists this long non-coding RNA (3801 nucleotides) under Priapulus caudatus. RNAcentral describes it as "uncharacterized LOC106809689". Lineage: Eukaryota; Metazoa; Priapulida; Priapulimorpha; Priapulimorphida; Priapulidae. The record is from RNAcentral.
UCCAACCAUAUAUAUACGAACCAUAUAUUACAAAACACUAUCUAUAGUGGGUCCGGAACUCAAGUGGGGAAACAAAUUUUGUCAGCGGAUGUGCGUGAAGCUAUUUCCUAGUUCCUAGUUCCUCAUUUUCAAAAAUAAGUAAGUGCACUCUUACAUUACAUUCAAACUCUCCACAAGCUAGAGUAUAGCAUGUGCACCAUCCACAACCUGUUAUAAAUCUGCAUCUGGAUUCUUACAUCACAUUUAAACUUGUAGUAGAGAGUUUAAGUGUAAUUAAGAGUACACUUGCUUAUUUUUUAGACCCAUUUCCUUAUUUUUAGACCCAUUUCCUUAUUUCAGAGCAGCGACAUUAGGCGAGUAUAGUUCACUUUUAUUUCACCAUAGAAACAGAUGUAGCUCUGGUUGUGGAUGGUGCACAUGCUAUUCUCUAGCUUGUGGAGAGUUUGAAUCUAAUGUAAGAGUCCACUUACUGAUUUUUUUUUACCAAUUUCCUUAUUUUAGAGCAGCGCCAUUAGGCGAGUAUAGUUCACUUUUAUUUCACCAUAGAAACCGAUGUAGCUCAGGUUGUGGAUGGUGCACAUGCUAUUCUCUAGCUUGUGGAGAGUUUGAAUCUAAUGUAAGAGUAAUAAGGAACUAGGAAAUAAGCUUGUUGCUUCUAGAAAGUUCUCCGCAGAAUGCGACGACUAGUGUAACAGCCGUUGGUUAAUAACUACGGAUGACGUCAGUACUAGGUUUUGUGUAUUCUUGUGAUGACUUUCCCGGUCAGUGCCCUUUGGAGUUUCUUUGGUUUUCCAGGGCCUGGUUUUUCAGAGAUCUAGCAGAAGCAGUCAGCGUCUCAAUUGCUGUGAGCUCGUGAGUCAGGGGCAGUGUAUUUGAGACUGUGAUUUUUACAUUAGCAAAGUAAUAUCACGAACUUAUCUGCAGAUUGUACUGCUAUCGGUAUGCUUAGCUUCGUGGUAAUAUAUGCUAACAGUCAAUCGCUUACAAAGAAAAUUAACACCCUGCCCCCCUAGAAAAUUUAUUGCCGUUCAUGUACGUGGAAAGCUAUUUGACUGAAACAGAGAUCCCAAUACCUCGGUUCCUCUCAAAUGUUUGGUUUCGCGAUUGAACUUUGCGAUCUGCCGCCCUCGCGGCACCGUUUGAUUUUGCUGCUUUGGUCUCAUCCUGUAACGCGUGUCAGAGUUGGUUUUAAUGAUCGGUAGCGUUUCUCUCAUGUCUGGAAUAGCCAUCGAUUCUCGUGAUCGACUCUCGAUUGCUGUCUUCCCCACGUUCCGUACUUUCAGAUUACUGGCUAACACUGGCCGGUUGAGACGUGAGAGUAAGAUGUAUGCAUUCGUGGCUGGAUAGAGCUGGUUAGGACUAGACUAGGCCCACGUGUUGACGUUGCUCAGCAUCGAAUCGUGUGCUAGAAAUUCUUUCGCGUUUCAGGGAUUCUUGUUUACAUCUCUGGUUGGUUGUCUCACCCCCCCCCCCCCCUGAGAACGGUUCACAGUUCACACACGUUGUCCGUACAUAUCCCCAUGUAGUGCUGGUGUUGGAAUGCUUUGAUGAGCGCGAUCGAUCUGUCAUCUUCUAUAUCUCCAGGAAAAGUUUAACGUUCUCUUUAAUCUUCGCCCUCCGUGUCGACAUAAACCGCGCUCCGAGAGCGGGAAUUGUUGAAGAUUUCACGGCGACUUAAUUACUUAGCCGAUAUUAUCCUAGAAGAUACAAUAAUGUCUAUACUCUAGUCUAGAUUUCCUAAUCUUGUUGGGUUACAUUAUUGUAUCAUAUAUUAUCCAUGCGUGUGCGGCCAUUUUGGAUUAUAUAGUAUAUACCCACCGAAGGAUGAUGUUUGGCGUUUGUUAUCCAAAAAAUGUGGUAAAUGUUCCGUGUAUUUGCUGCGUAGUCGGUUGGUCGUUAGGCCUACUGCCAGCGAGGGCCUCUAGAUCGGUUUUGAUAGUCCAAUAGCAUUUUAACAUGACACGGACCCUGAACUUGUUAUGUAUAAGCUGUAGUUAACUGUAAAUAGUAUAUAGUGUUGUAUAAAUUAUUGUGUUUUCACGGUGUACGUCUCAAAAGUAGUAUAACUGUUAUAUUAUUGAUUUCGGCAUAUAUUUUUCAUAUUCUGGUAUGUAAUUUUUUGAGUGUUCUUGUGUUUUUCUGAAUAUACAUUUGUAAUGUAGGUCUUUGACAUUGCUUAUAGAGUUACAACACUUUUCGUGUUCGCUGCCACUGUUACUCGACAGUGAACAGAAACUUUGACUGUGUGUUGUCAGUCUAUAAAAAAACGUUCGAGUUGCGUAUGAAUUUAUAAAAAAAAAAUUAAAUAUCGAAAACCCUACUGUAACUGCUGAAACUAUUUACACUGAGGUAUAUAUGCAGGGUAGACAGGUUUAAAAGCGGAGAAUGUGACUGACCCCCCCCCCCUAAAAACAUUUAUUUUCUUUAAUGUUUACAGAAUGUUUGAUUAUAUAGUCUACCAGUAUUUAAUCGUGUAUUUCGUAGCAGUGUCUAAGCCGCGGCGGGGAAGGGAGGGAAGGGGGCUUACUUUCUGUGUGUGUGUGCGUGUGCGUGUGCGUGUGCGUGCGCGUGCUCGUGUGCGUUCUGCGUGCGCGCGCGUGUGUAUGUGGCCUGUAACGGGCGUGCAAACUCGGCUGAUUUCGCGUGCACACGUGCGGCAUGAGGAAACAAAUGGCAAGAGAGGGAGGGGAAACGAAACGGAGUGCGGGAGGGAUAGAUGGAGAGACGGAGAAAGAGCGCAUACGAGCGCGCGCGCGAAAGAGAAAUGCACGGUGUGUUAAGCGAAGCUGUGUGGAGUGGAUAGUCGAUGGGGUACCGAGGGGUACGUAAAUUGCGUAGGGAAUGGGUAGGGUAUGACUGAAAGAGGCAAGGUAUGUUGCGAGGUAUGUAUAAAAGGAGAGAUGGGGACCAGUGAGGUGCUGGGAAAGUACGUGGGGAGAUGUUGGGGUGCGAUUCGAGAAUUGAGCAAGAUUGAGGGACGAGUGUUUGUGAGAGCAACAGACACGCUGUAUGAGGAGCCGAUAGGAUAGGCAAGGGAAGUCGAUGGAAUCGGUGAGAAGUUGCAAGCAGUAAGGAAUACGAGUAGUGCGUGCGAAGAGCCGUGGUUGCUGGUGUGAGUGAGGGGAGAAGGGGUGAAGGAAGCCGCUAACGUAUGCACAAAGUCCCGCGAGCGAACUGUCGCCGUGCCCUCUAUCGCAGGGGGACAGUCGCUCAUAGCUAUACUAUAAACAGGAGUAAAUAAUUACAGGUUUGUGAUUAUUUAUUCCUGCUAUAAAGAUACUAAUUAGUACUAAUUGUAAUCCGCACUAAUUAGUAUUAAUUGGUGCCUGGUUUAUAUUCCUGCACUAGCAUCCCCGCCGGGCCGCGUCAUUAUUUAUUUCAUCUACUGUCAUUUUUUGUGCUUUUGUGUUUUCGAGCCAGCGUCGGUGUGUGUGUGCGUGCGUGCGUGUGCGUGCGUGUGUGUGUGUGUGUGUGUGUGUGUGUGUGUGGUGUGUGUGUGAUGUGUGUGUUUGUGUGUGUGCGCGCCGCACGCCGCGCGUGCUGUAGCGUGCGUCGCAUGAUUGACCAGGUGGAGGGAGCGCCGAAAUUGUAGCGAUGUUUGCAGACUAAUGCUCGUUAUGUGGUGUGCGCGCAUGGGUGCCGUACGUCGUGCACUGGUGUAUGUGUGGCGGCGAUACGGCUGACAACUACGUGUGCACGUACAUCACCACCACAGGUGUUGGCUUGUUUAUAAUGCACAGCUGAUUUGAAAUCGUUCGUAUAAUAAUUAGGACUACAAAUAAAGCCAGUAAUUCAAACAUA